AAACGUGUUUGAUAUUAUUGCAAGUCGCAGUGACGAAAUACGAUCAACAACCAAUAGAUGAGCUCUGACAAAAGCAGAAACAGGAACCCCGACAGUCAGAACACCGGCAAAAAAGAGGAUGAAGAAAAAAAAGACGAAAAAGAAGCGGUGAUGAAACGUCGGAGGAGUGUGCAGAAAGAGGA
Melanotaenia boesemani (Boeseman's rainbowfish) is the source of this 182-nucleotide long non-coding RNA. RefSeq lists it as uncharacterized. The record is from RefSeq and is a predicted model, not a curated record. The transcript has 4 exons. NCBI's taxonomy places the organism in Eukaryota, Metazoa, Chordata, Actinopteri, Atheriniformes, Melanotaeniidae.